Molecule: long non-coding RNA, 353 nt
Organism: Ictalurus punctatus (channel catfish)
Lineage: Eukaryota; Metazoa; Chordata; Actinopteri; Siluriformes; Ictaluridae
Source: Ensembl
AGUUUGGACAGGCGCAUUGGAGCUGCAUGAAAAAAAAAACAACAACACAGAAAGAAUCCAAAGCUGUCGACGGGACCGCAGUCACUCGCCUGUGAGUCACACUUCUGCUCAGAAAUAGUGCUGAAACACACGGCGUAAACCCGACUGGAAAAAAUACCACAUUAUAAAUGUGGAACUAUAAAUCCAACUGUAAAUACUCAGGGAAGGAGGUGUGGCCUCUGUGUCUCAGUGAAGGAGGUGUGGCCUCUGUGUCUCAGUCUCAAUGAAGGAGGUGUGGCCUCUGUGUCUCAGUCUCAAUGAAGGAGGUGUGGCCUCUGUGUCUCAGUGAAAGAGGUGUGGCCUCUGUGUGUCAG